UCACCAUAAUCCCUCAAGUCCAGCUUGCACAUGAUUGUUCUUCCUCCAACUUGCAAAAUUUCUCUGCUCUGAGACUUUCUUUCUCCUUUUUUUAAAGAUUGUUUUAUCACACUCUUGAUCACUCACUCUCAUUUACCAAAGGUUUAGUCCAUAGUCUUCUUUUCCACCACAAGGUUUGCACUCACAGAAAACAUUUUCAUACCCAUAGAGAUCCAUCCAAUACCUUCACCUCUACAUAUCUCUAUCUUUUCAGAUCCACUCCAUCAGCAUCUAUUUUCAUGGACAUUCCUUGGACUCUAAAUACCAAAAAACAGAACCAUCUCCAAAAAUACUAAUUUAAACCUGCUCUCACUGAGUAUAUGAACCAAAACUCCUAGUAUUCUUUGAAAAGUUAAAAGCCUACUUUAUUUUUCCCUUUAUUUUCACCCUGAUUUUAGUUUUACUUACCUUCAUAUUCAGUUGAUGUUCCAUUAUUACUUAGGUAAUACAAGAGUCACAUUUUUUUCUCAUCCCUGUGGUUUCUUCUCCCUCCACUAUAUUUGGGAAGUGAAGCCAGCAGAAAGCUUGUCUCAUGUACUCUCUCAGUAUUACUACCUGCUCCUGCUGCUCCCCAGGGUAUGUUUAUCUUGCCUCUGUGAUAGCCACCUCCACAAAUUUCCUCAAGGUCAGCAGCAGCUCAGAGGUUACAGAUCUUUGGCAUCAUCGUUUACAAUGCUCUUGAGCCAUUAUAGUGAGAGCGGAGGAAAGCAGAGGAAUGGUCUGGCAGUUUUCACAGAGCCCUCAAUUUCCCUCCUCCACCUCCACCUCCACCAAUCGUUGAGUUAGUUGAAUUUCUCAGAACUUAUCAAGGUGUUCUCAAAGGUACAACACAAUAAACCUCCUGCCUGAUAAUAAUAGAGUUUUAGAAUCUGUUUCCCUGGGAACCUGAACUACAACAGUUGCUACCAGAAGUGAUCCAAGAAAGUAGACUCAAGAAUGGAAGUACGGGCUGAAUAACCUUCUGUGCAGCUGGCAAGGAAGCGCCUACUACUAGUGGGACAUGGAAGGAGAAAAAUUGGAAGAUCAGAGUCAAGGAGAACUGUGAAAGAGGCAUAUAGAUACAACCAGGGAAGAAUACACAAAGUGUGAAGGGGUUUAUGUCAUGUUAAUGCCCACCAGAGAACAUCUACAAUGUAACAAGUAUGAACAACUGAACAGAAGAGAAUGACUCAGUCAGCUUGUCUUUGGUCAUCCCAAGGCAAGUGUAAUAGACUCCUGAACAGAGUAAUCAUUGGGUAGAGAUGAAGACUAUACAUGCGAUCAACAGUAUCUUUUCCCUACCCAAUAAGAUUGAUCUGAUCCUUGAGCUACCAAAUAUCCAGUCUACCAGCAAAAGAGACAAAUGCUGAACCCUUGAUAUAUCAUCAAACAACUAGUCACUUGGAAGCAAAAUGAUUUCUCUGGACCCUUUCCAUUCUGGAAUAGAGAGAAAUUCAUCUGGAGUGUCAUUAACACAGACUCUAAUAAUGGGUUUGGUUUUAUGCCUGGUAAAGUCCAGCAAACCCACUGCAUAAGAGCUUAAAGAAUUUUAAAUCACUGACAUAGAAUCUCACAUAAAUUCAGUUAAACUAAAAGGCUCACUUUAAAGUAAAGCAAUAGGCACAUGAUUUGGGGAUUAACAGGUCCUGUCAUGUACUGUAUCACUCAAAAAUUACUGCACUGGUGGAGUAGCAGAAGAACCUUUAAAUGUGAUUCAAAGGCUUCAUCUUGGAGAUGGUAACAUACAAGGAUGGGGUGCCAUGUUCUAGAUUGUGAUAUACAUCCUAAAAUAUGGUACUAUACCCCCCAAUAAUCAGAAUACAUAAGUGUGUAGAAUUAGUCAUAGAAGUAUUACUCCACAGAUAAUCAUUUCCAGUGACUCCCUUAGGAGUAGCUUCUGUCCAUCCACAUCUGUGGACUCUGUGUGUCUGUGCUGCCUGGUAUAAUUGAAGCUGACAACAAGGAUAAGGUAGUACAAUGGGGAUAGUGAAUAUUGUAACAGGCUAGAUACUUAGAUGAUAUAUUAAAGUUAUCUGAUGAAAUUCUCCUGUGCAGUCUGAAGGUAAAUUGAUAAGAGCAGCAGCCCAUUCUUAGAGAUGAUUAAGGAAAUAGUAGAACUUUUAAGAAAAUAGUCUGGUUCACUCCACCAGAUCAGCUACGAUGCCAGCAGAGUUUCUAAUCAAGGGUCAUAGCCAGUUUUUAGUUAUAAAUAUCAGUUAUAGCUUCCAGAAUAAUUGCUUUAGUCACCCUUCCUCAGAUAAGUUUUCCCAAAAAGUAGACUAAUCAAGAUCUUGGAAGAACUGUUCCCAAAUGAAGUAUCCUACUAUAUGAGGCAAAUGGAUUCAAGAACAAAACUAAUGGACUAGUGUUGAUACUGGGAUGUACUCUCAGAUCUCAUUUCAUAGCAAGUCGGGUAUUUUUCUAACUGCUGGGAGUAUUGGCUGCUAGGGGCUCACAGUUGUGUCUCUCUAGGAUUUGCUGUUGACCUAAGGAAUAUGCCUCAUUAAAGGUUAUACACCCUCCUUGGGAGAGCUCAUAUCUGAGAUCUGUAGGCAUACAGAGGUCUUAUCCUCUUGUUUCUACUAGUGAUAAUUUGGAGGGACUUUUAGAUUCAGAGUUCCCUAUAGGUUUGGAUGAAGCCACUGUUCUAAUUUCCCCAUCAAAGUUCAGCUUCCCUUAUUCUCUCCUGGGUUUGACCCAAGAACAUUCCAUAAUAAGCACUUCCCAACCACAAAUAUCAGUCUUGAAGUCUAAUUCUUGAGGUACCUAACCUGUAAUAUAUGCACAACAUACUUUCCAGUGUCUCAUUCACAUUCAUUCCAUCUCUGGUCUCUAUCUUCCACUCCAGAAAGCCCAGCUACUCCUGCCUUUGUGAAUAAAAGGACAGAUGAAUAACCUAA
Non-coding RNA from Ictidomys tridecemlineatus (thirteen-lined ground squirrel), 2918 nucleotides. NCBI's taxonomy places the organism in Eukaryota, Metazoa, Chordata, Mammalia, Rodentia, Sciuridae. The record is from RefSeq and is a predicted model, not a curated record.